GAAAUGCGAUACGUAGUGUGAAUUGCAGAAAUACGUGAACCAUCGAAUCUUUGAACGCAUAUUGCGCUCGAGGCUUCGGCCAAGAGCAUGUCUGCCUCAGCGUCGGGUUAAUCCUCGCCCUACCAAUCCAUGGAUUGAUGGGUGGAUCUGGCUUUCCCAGGCCUUGUGUCUGGGUUCGCUGAAGCACAGAGGUUGAUGCAUGGACCCGAUAAGGGCCGCAACUGGGUAAGCAACUUGUUGCUGAUGCUUUAGUUGUUGGCUUGGGACUGUGCUGUCGACCCGAAAUCAGGAAGGGCUUCGGCUCUAUUAACCUUUAUCUCGACCUGAGCUCAGGCAAGAACACCCGCUGAACUUAA
This 356-nucleotide unclassified non-coding RNA is filed under the name uncultured fungus. Its description in RNAcentral is "sequence contains ITS1". The stretch from base 1 to 105 matches the Rfam family "5.8S ribosomal RNA", at positions 50 to 154 of the family's 154-position model. The record is from RNAcentral. Lineage: Eukaryota; Fungi.